CUCCCCGGGCGGGAUUCGAACCUGCGACCAAUCGAUUAACAGUCGACCGCUCUACCGCUGAGCUACCGAGGA
Molecule: transfer RNA, 72 nt
Filed under: Synechococcus sp. RCC307
Lineage: Bacteria; Bacillati; Cyanobacteriota; Cyanophyceae; Synechococcales; Synechococcaceae
Description: tRNA-Asn
Source: RNAcentral